AAACCGUUGGAAGGGAAGCGAAUGGAGUCAGCAAUUCGCCCAGUACGAUUCAGUCGCGUACCGUUCGGUCGCGUGCCCGAUGUCGAUCUUCCGAGACGAAACGUGCACCUCCGGYCGGACGUUCGCGGCGCACUUCGCAUGGGCGAGCGUCAACGUCGGUAGACGUACGAGUGAGAAAGCUGCGAGAAUGGUAGGUCCUUGGGGACUGGUAAGCCUCGCUAGCACCUAACCCGUAGUCCACCGAGGCGGUCGCAUCGCGUGCCUCUGGCUGAUGUUCUGUACCGUUGUGUCGGAUGCGAAACGUGGCGGACGGCUGUGCCUGUGCGCUCGAACCGCCACCGUGCAACGGCACGUCGAACAUACACCACGCGUUGAGGACGUUUGACGAGCAUACGGCUUCAUCCGACCCGUCUUGAAACACGGACCAAGGAGUCUAACAUGUUCGCAAGUCACUGGGUGCUUGAAACCCGUGGGCGUAAUGAAAGUGAAGGCAAUCUGUUGUUGAGAUGAGAAGCCCUGGCAGKGGUUGGGGCUGCAUCAUCGACCGACCUGUUCUACUCCUAGAAAGGUUUGAGUAAGAGCGUACCUGUUGGGACCCGAAAGAUGGUGAACUAUGCCUGAAUAGGGUGAAGCCAGCGGAAACACUGGUGGAAGCCCGUAGCGAUUCUGACGUGCAAAUCGAUCGUCGAAUUUGGGUAUAGCGGCGAAAGACUAAUCGAACCAUCUAGUAGCUGGUUCCCUCCGAAGUUUCCCAUAGGAUAGCUGGGACGUUGCAGU
This 777-nucleotide ribosomal RNA is filed under the name Kophobelemnon macrospinum. RNAcentral's name for it is "eukaryotic LSU rRNA". It matches the Rfam family "Eukaryotic large subunit ribosomal RNA", at positions 402 to 999 of the family's 3401-position model. Lineage: Eukaryota; Metazoa; Cnidaria; Anthozoa; Scleralcyonacea; Kophobelemnidae. The record is from RNAcentral.